GCGUAAAGGGUGCGCAGGCGGCCGGGUGUGUCAGAUGUGAAAUCCCGAGGCUUAACCUCGGAACUGCGUCUGAAACUACUCGGCUAGAGUAUUGGAGAGGGUAACGGAAUUCACGGUGUAGCAGUGAAAUGCGUAGAUAUCGUGAGGAACACCAGAGGCGAAGGCGGUUACCUGGACAAUUACUGACGCUCAGGCACGAAAGCAUGGGGAGCAAAAGGGAUUAGAUACCCCUGUAGUCCAUGCCCUAAACGGUGCACACUAGGUCUUGGCGGAUUCGACCCCACCAGGGCCCAAGCUAACGCGUUAAGUGUGCCGUCUGAGGACUACGGUCGCAAGACUAAAACUCAAAGAAAUUGACGGGGACCCGCACAAGCGGUGGAACAUGUGGUUUAAUUCGAGGCAACGCGAAGAACCUUACCAGGUCUUGACAUGCCCUCUAUGGGAUAGAGAAAUUUAUCCCUUCAGUUCGGCUGGGAGGUGCACAGGUGCUGCAUGGCUGUCGUCAGCUCGUGUCGUGAGAUGUUGGGUUAAGUCCCGCAACGAGCGCAACCCUCAUCCUCUGUUGCUAACAGGUAAUGCUGAGAACUCUGAGGAAACUGCCGGUGAUAAGCCGGAGGAAGGUGGGGAUGACGUCAAGUCCUCAUGGCCCUUACGGCCUGGGCUACACACGUGUUACAAUGGCGGUGACAAUGAGUCGCUAACCUGCAAGGGUAUGCUAAUCUCAAAAAGCCGCCUCAGUUUGGAUUGUACUCUGCAACUCGAGUACAUGAAAUUGGAAUCGCUAGUAAUCG
Molecule: ribosomal RNA, 791 nt
Filed under: uncultured Alphaproteobacteria bacterium
Lineage: Bacteria; Pseudomonadati; Pseudomonadota; Alphaproteobacteria
Description: bacterial SSU rRNA
Rfam family: Bacterial small subunit ribosomal RNA
Source: RNAcentral